Non-coding RNA from Acanthosepion pharaonis, 111 nucleotides. The record is from the annotation of a GenBank genome assembly. Lineage: Eukaryota; Metazoa; Mollusca; Cephalopoda; Sepiida; Sepiidae.
ACGGUCACAUCGCGUUCAAACACCAGUUCUCGUACGAUCAUCGAAGUUAAGCAACCUCGAGCCUGGUCAGUAUCUAGAUGGAUGACCACUUGGGAAUGCCAGGUGCUGUAA